AAAAGGAGGGGAGGGGGAGGGACCAGCCCACCCGCGUAGCAGCCCCAUUACUGGGCCCCCCCUUCCACCAGGGAAUGUUCGAUACAGGUCGCAGGUUUCGCGUGCCUUCCCCGACCCGUGGGCUCACCCCACUGGGUUCACCGCCUCACGUGUGGGUACGUCACCCCCAGCGCCACCUUGGUACAAGUGGAAGGAAAACAUAACCGCCAACAAGCCAGCCGGGCAUGGGGCAUCCGGUCCCCUAAUUUUAAUCGACGCCCGCGCGUUUCGAACCCGGGCAACUUGGGCGGAAUUAUCGCCCCCUUACCACCAGGCUACUACCUUGGUGGAU
RNAcentral lists this long non-coding RNA (331 nucleotides) under Phoenix dactylifera (date palm). Its description in RNAcentral is "long non-coding RNA (PDAC_LNC019095)". Lineage: Eukaryota; Viridiplantae; Streptophyta; Magnoliopsida; Arecales; Arecaceae. The record is from RNAcentral.